Molecule: ribosomal RNA, 427 nt
Filed under: uncultured bacterium
Lineage: Bacteria
Description: partial 16S ribosomal RNA
Rfam family: Bacterial small subunit ribosomal RNA
Source: RNAcentral
UGGGGAAUAUUGCACAAUGGGCGCAAGCCUGAUGCAGCCAUGCCGCGUGUAUGAAGAAGGCCUUCGGGUUGUAAAGUACUUUCAGCGGGGAGGAAGGUGUUGAGGCUAAUAACCUCAGCAAUUGACGUUACCCGCAGAAGAAGCACCGGCUAACUCCGUGCCAGCAGCCGCGGUAAUACGGAGGGUGCAAGCGUUAAUCGGAAUUACUGGGCGUAAAGCGCACGCAGGCGGUCUGUCAAGUCGGAUGUGAAAUCCCCGGGCUCAACCUGGGAACUGCAUUCGAAACUGGCAGGCUAGAGUCUUGUAGAGGGGGGUAGAAUUCCAGGUGUAGCGGUGAAAUGCGUAGAGAUCUGGAGGAAUACCGGUGGCGAAGGCGGCCCCCUGGACAAAGACUGACGCUCAGGUGCGAAAGCGUGGGGGGCAAACA